GUUUUAAUAGUUUAAUAAAAACAUCGGUCUUGUAAAUCGAAAAUAAGAAAUUUUCUUUUAAAACU
Molecule: transfer RNA, 65 nt
Filed under: Diamesa tonsa
Lineage: Eukaryota; Metazoa; Arthropoda; Insecta; Diptera; Chironomidae
Also listed under: 12 other names
Description: tRNA-Thr
Rfam family: tRNA
About the family: Transfer RNA (tRNA) molecules are approximately 80 nucleotides in length.
Source: RNAcentral